GAUGAGCGUGUGACAAAAGAAGAUCCAAAGAGGGCUCUGGAAGAGCAGUAUGGUGGUGAGGAGGAGUUGCCUCAUACAAACCCUGCGUUCAACAAUUCACCAUUCAAAUUCACAAAAUAUUCAAAUGCAUAUAUGCUUGUUUAUAUUCGUGAAAGUGACAAAGAAAAGAUUAUCUGCAAUGUGGAUGAAAAGGACAUUGCGGAGCAUCUCAGGGUAAGGCUAAAGAAAGAGCAAGAUGAAAAGGAGCAAAAGAGAAAGGAAAAAGCAGAGGCUCACCUUUAUACUAUCAUCAAGGUUGCUCGUGAUGAAGACCUUGGUGAACAAAUUGGAAAGGAGAUCUAUUUUGAUCUUGUGGAUCAUGAUAAAGUGCAUAGUUUUCGUAUUCAGAAGCAGAUGCCAUUUGCUCAAUUCAAGGAGGAAGUUGCUAAGGAAUUUGGCAUACCAGUUCAAUUUCAACGUUACUGGCUAUGGGCAAAGCGCCAGAACCAUACGUAUCGGCCUAAUCGGCCAUUGACACCUCAAGAGGAAGUUCAGUCGGUUGGACAAUUGAGAGAGGUCUCUAAUAAAACAAGUAACGCGGAGCUAAAGCUUUAUUUGGAAGUUGAAGUUGGCCUGGAUUUGCAACCUUGUCCUCCACCUGAGAAGACCAAAGAAGAUAUUCUUCUAUUUUUCAAACUGUAUGACCCUCUAAAAGAGGAGAUAAGGUAUGUUGGGCGGCUCUUUGUAAAAGGAAGUGGCAAGCCACUGGACAUAUUGUCCAAGCUAAAUGAGUUGGCUGGAUUUUCACCUGAUGAAGAGAUUGAACUCUUUGAGGAAAUAAAAUUUGAACCCAAUGUGAUGUGUGAACCUAUUGAUUGCAAUCUAACAUUUUGUAGCAGUCAGCUUGAAGAUGGGGACAUUAUUUGCUUCCAGAAACCCGUUCAGAGUCAAACUAGUGAACAAUGUCGAUUUUCUGAUGUUCCUUCAUUUUUAGAGUAUGUGCACAAUCGCCAGGUUGUUCACUUCCGCUCAUUGGAAAAACCCAAGGAGGAGGAUUUUAGUCUCGAGUUGUCAAAGCUGAACACCUAUGAUGAAGUAGUAGAGAGUUUGGCUCGCCAUCUCCGCUUGGAUGACCCAUCUAAAAUAAGGCUUACAUCACAUAACUGCUACUCACAGCAGCCAAAACCUCAGCCAAUAAAGUAUCGAGGAGUGGACCGUCUUACAGAAAUGCUGGUUCACUAUAAUCAGACUUCAGACAUUUUGUAUUAUGAAGUCCUCGAUAUUCCAUUACCAGAGCUACAGUGCUUAAAAACUCUCAAAGUCGCCUUUUAUAAUGCUGCAAAAUAUGAAGUGACAAUCCAUACUAUUAGAUUGCCAAAACAAAGUACUGUGGAUGAUGUCCUUAAUCAUCUUAAGACAAAGGUUGAGUUGUCACGUCCAGAUGCUGAACUAAGGUUGCUGGAAGUUUUCUAUCACAAGAUAUAUAAGAUUUUUCCACCUACUGAAAGGAUUGAGAACAUAAAUGAUCAGUACUGGACCUUGCGUGCAGAAGAGAUCCCUGAAGAGGAGAAAAACCUGGGUCCUCUUGAUCGUUUGAUUCAUGUUUACCAUUUUACGAAGGACACAACUCAAAACCAAGCACAGCAUGUACAAAACUUUGGCGAACCAUUUUUUUUGGUUAUUCAUGAGGGUGAGACACUGGCUGAAGUUAAAGUGCGCAUUCAGAGAAAAUUGCAGGUUCCACAUGAGGAGUUUUCAAAGUGGGCGUUUGCGUUUGUGUCCAUGGGCCGUCCUGACUACCUCCGGGAUUCAGAUAUUGUAUCUAUUCGUUUUCAGAGGAGAGAUGUUUAUGGUGCUUGGGAG
Molecule: unclassified non-coding RNA, 1842 nt
Filed under: Hevea brasiliensis (rubber tree)
Lineage: Eukaryota; Viridiplantae; Streptophyta; Magnoliopsida; Malpighiales; Euphorbiaceae
Source: RNAcentral